GUGAACCUGCGGAGGGAUCAUUACAAGUGACCCCGGUCUAACCACCGGGAUGUUCAUAACCCUUUGUUGUCCGACUCUGUUGCCUCCGGGGCGACCCUGCCUUCGGGCGGGGGCUCCGGGUGGACACUUCAAACUCUUGCGUAACUUUGCAGUCUGAGUAAAUUUAAUUAAUAAAUUAAAACUUUUAACAACGGAUCUCUUGGUUCUGGCAUCGAUGAAGAACGCAGCGAAAUGCGAUAAGUAAUGUGAAUUGCAGAAUUCAGUGAAUCAUCGAAUCUUUGAACGCACAUUGCGCCCCCUGGUAUUCCGGGGGGCAUGCCUGUUCGAGCGUCAUUUCACCACUCAAGCCUCGCUUGGUAUUGGGCAACGCGGUCCGCCGCGUGCCUCAAAUCGACCGGCUGGGUCUUCUGUCCCCUAAGCGUUGUGGAAACUAUUCGCUAAAGGGUGCUCGGGAGGCUACGCCGUAAAACAAACCCAUUUCUAAGGUUGACCUCGGAUCAGGUAG
Molecule: ribosomal RNA, 505 nt
Filed under: Cladosporium cladosporioides
Lineage: Eukaryota; Fungi; Ascomycota; Dothideomycetes; Cladosporiales; Cladosporiaceae
Description: eukaryotic LSU rRNA
Rfam family: 5.8S ribosomal RNA (bases 180-333)
Source: RNAcentral